UACGGAGGGUGCAAGCAUUAAUCGGAUUUAUUGGGCGUAAAGGGCGCGUAGGCGGCAAUGAAAGUCAGAUGUGAAAUUCCGGGGCUCAACCUCGGAGCUGCAUCUGAAACUUCAUUACUAGAGGUAAGGCGGGGAAAACGGAAUUCCACAUGUAGCGGUGAAAUGCGUAGAUAUGUGGAAGAACACCGGUGGCGAAGGCGGUUUUCUAGCCUUUACCUGACGCUGAAGCGCGAAAGCGUGGGGAGCAAACAGG
RNAcentral lists this ribosomal RNA (253 nucleotides) under uncultured bacterium. RNAcentral's name for it is "partial 16S ribosomal RNA". It matches the Rfam family "Bacterial small subunit ribosomal RNA", at positions 524 to 776 of the family's 1533-position model. The record is from RNAcentral.